Molecule: long non-coding RNA, 1023 nt
Organism: Carya illinoinensis
Lineage: Eukaryota; Viridiplantae; Streptophyta; Magnoliopsida; Fagales; Juglandaceae
Exons: 2
Source: RefSeq, a predicted model, not a curated record
GCUUGCACACUCACAACUGCAAAUAUUAUUUCUCUUUUAAUAAUUAAAUACUGGUUUGAAUAUUAUAUAUUAGCUUGGUUUUCCUUCUUUUCUUUUUAAUAUAUGUCCUUAAAAGUCUUAAUUAAUUGCCACGACUUUGACUUAUAAAAACAGAUUCUUCGUCAAAGUCUACGGUACGUAAUGUAAUUCAAUCCUAAUUUGUCCAUUAAUAUGAAUCUCAUCAUCUCCUUCUUCCUACUCUCUUCUUUCUCGAUCGUACAUAUAUUAUAUAUAUAUUAUAGAUAUAUGUGUGUCUUUCCCUCCCAUCUUGUGAUCUCAACCUUAAAUAUAUAUAUUCGGUGCUGCUCCUGCGUACUGUAAGACGAGAGAGAGAGAGAGAGAGAGAGAGAGAGAGAGAGAGAGAGAGAGAGAGAGAGAUCAUGAAGGUCAUGUUGUGGUUUCUUGUACGCUUGUGCUGUGUUUUUCUGCUGAUCUUCCUGCAUGCAUCCUUUGGUACUACUGAGAUCAGGGGCGGUAAUCCACCAUCAGCUGGCAGCGAGAGGGAUCAGCCAAGAUAUGUUCGCGGAUCACCUAAUGCCCCCCCCGGUAGCCAUCUAUGAAUAGUAUAGAUAUAUAUAUAGAUGGGUAUAGAUAUAUAUAUAUAUAUAUAGAGAGAGAGAGAGAGAGAGAGAGAGAGAGAGAGAGAGAGAGAGAGAGAGAGAGAGAGAGAGAGAGAGAGAGAGAGAGAGAGAGAGAGAGAGAGAGAGAGAGAGAGUUAUCAAUCAGUCUCAAGCUCAUGGUGAUGCCCAAGCCAUAGAUGGAAGAGUUUAUAAUAGGCUAAAGAUUAUUCUUCAGUUGAUCUUGGGAUCGAUCUCUCAUAAUUUUUUUUUUUUUAAUUGUAUGCCGAAUUAAGCCAUGUCCCAAUGUUUUAGUACCUAAAUAUUAGAAGUUGAUUUCAUAAUAUUUGUGUUAUCAAUUAAAUGUUUGUUUAAAUAUAUGUACUUUGUUAUAAAUACUUUAAAUUAAAUAUUAUGUUUCAUUUUA